UGAACUCAAAAUCCUCCUGAGUCAUCUUGGAUUACAGUACCGAGUUGAAGCUGUUGGAGGAGGCAACCAUUUCAGUGUGCAAAUCUUUAGUUGAAAACAAUCUCGAACAGGAAAUCUUUGUGCGCUAAUUAAGGUCUUACCUUUCUAGAACCAAAGAACUCAAACUUUCAGCAGAAUGUCAGAA
This is a non-coding RNA of Castor canadensis (American beaver), 184 nucleotides long. NCBI's taxonomy places the organism in Eukaryota, Metazoa, Chordata, Mammalia, Rodentia, Castoridae. The record is from RefSeq and is a predicted model, not a curated record.